AUUUUAGGCAUGCUGGUCGCACGAGUUCAGACUCGUGGCGAAUAGCUCAGUAACACGUGGCCAAACUACCCUUCGGAACACAAUACCCUCGGGAAACUGAGGCUAAUAGUGUAUACCAUACCACCACUGGAAUGAGUGGUAUGCCAAACGCUCCGGCGCCGAAGGAUGUGGCUGCGGCCGAUUAGGUAGACGGUGGGGUAACGGCCCACCGUGCCAAUAAUCGGUAUGGGUCAUGAGAGUGAGAACCCAGAGACGGAAUCUGAGACAAGAUUCCGGGCCCUACGGGGCGCAGCAGGCGCGAAACCUUUACACUGCACGACAGUGCGAUAGGGGGAUCCCAAGUGCACAGGCAUAGCGCCUGUGCUUUUCGGUACCCUAAGGCGGUACCAGAAUAAGGGCUGGGCAAGACCGGUGCCAGCCGCCGCGGUAAUACCGGCAGCCCAAGUGAUGGCCGAUCUUAUUGGGCCUAAAGCGUCCGUAGCUGGCCGCGCAAGUCCAUCGGGAAAUCCACCUGCUCAACAGGUGGGCGCCCGGUAGAAACUGCGUGGCUUUGGGACCGGAAGGCGCGACGGGUACGUCCGGGGUAGGAGUGAAAUCCCGUAAUCCUGGACGGACCGCCGAUGGCGAAAAGCACGUCGCGAGAAACGGAUCCGACAGUGAGGGACGAAAGCCAGGGUCUCGAACCGGAUUAGAUACCCGGGUAGUCCUGGCCGUAAACAAUGUCUUGCUAGGUGUGGCCUCCCACUACGAGUGGGUGCUGUGCCGUAAGGGAAGCCGCUAAGCAGACCGCCUGGGAAGUACGUCCGGCAAGAAUGAUAACUUAAAAGGGAUUUGGCGGGGGAGAACUACAACCGGAAGGAGCCUGCCGGUUUAUUGGGACUCAACGCCCGACAUCUCACCCAGCAUCGACUGUAGUAAUGACGAUCAG
RNAcentral lists this ribosomal RNA (928 nucleotides) under archaeon Fa5. RNAcentral describes it as "bacterial SSU rRNA". It matches the Rfam family "Archaeal small subunit ribosomal RNA", at positions 42 to 957 of the family's 1478-position model. The record is from RNAcentral.